AAGACGCCGCUCGCGAUCGGCGAGAUGAGCAUCGGCCGGUCGGCGGGCGGUGCGGCGGUUGCUGCGGGCAGCUCGACGGCGGUGACUUUCGGCGGCCGUCGCGAAACGGAAGUGCCGCCGGGGCAGGAGCGGGACAGCGAUCCCGUCGCGUACGACGUGAGGGCCGGCGAGCCGUACGCGCUCAGCCUGUACCUGGGAAGCCGCCAGACGAUGACGGUCUGGCACCGCGUAUCGAAUCAGGUCAAUUACGUGUCGGCGCCGGGUAACCACACGGGCGACGCCUCACCCGACGCGUUUCGCACGCGCUUCACGCAAUCCGCCUGGAUCGCCGAGUUGGCGGUGGAGGUGCAGCAGCCGGGCGCGGCGGCGAUCGCGGCCGUCGGCGAUUCGAUCACCGAUGGCCUGCGCUCGAGCCUGAACCGCAAUCGCCGCUGGCCGGAUGCGCUGGCGGCCCGGCUCGAGCGCGCGGGCGCAGGCGACAUCGGCGUGGCGAAUCUCGGCAUCAGCGGCAAUCGGCUGCUGAGCGACUCGCGCUGCUACGGCAUCGCGCUUGAGCGCCGCUUCGAGCGUGACGUGCUGACGCGCGCGGGCGUGAAGGUCGCGGUGCUGCUGAUUGGCAUCAACGACAUCAAUUUCGCUGCGAUGCCAGCCCGGUCCGGGCUCGACUGUGAUGCGCCGCAUACGCGGGUCGACGCGCAAGCGUUGAUCGCGGGCUACCGCCGCGUGAUCGCGGCUGCGCACGCGCGAGGCGUUGCGGUAUUCGGCGCGACGCUGACGCCGGCGUCGCUGCCGCCGGCGCGCGAAGCGAUCCGUCGCGAAGUCAACGAAUGGAUUCGAACCUCGGGCGCCUUCGACGGCGUCGUGGAUUUCGACGCCGCGCUGCGCGAUCCGGCUAAGCCGUCGACAUUGCUGCGUCGCUAUAACAGUGGCGACGACAUCCACCCGAGCGACGCCGGCUAUGCGGCGAUGGCCGAGGCGGUGCCGCUGGAGCGACUGGCGGCGGCGGCCGGGCGCCGCUGAGCGUGCGGCACGGACGCGGCAUGCCACGUCCAUUCAAAAAUUUUAACGGGACCCUAAAAAACGCUUGCACGAAGCGUAGAUGCUGCCUACAAUCACGCCUCUUUCGCGCUACGGCGAACGCGGCGCGAAGGGGGAAGCGGGAGGUUUCGCGGCUCAUGCGGUACGGUCGGCGGUAGAGGCGGCCGAGGGCGCGAGGCGGUGAUCCUACGCAACGUUCAUCGGCGUAGGGUGAGUCGGCCCCUAAGGCGAGGCAGAAAUGCGUAGCUGAUGGGAAGCAGGUCAAUAUUCCUGCACCGUCGUUAGAUGCGAUGGGGGGACGGAUCGCGGAAGGUUGUCCGGGUGUUGGAAGUCCCGGUCGCUGCAUUGGAGAAGGCGCUUAGGCAAAUCCGGGCGCAGGAUUCAAGGGUGUGGCGCGAGCUCCUUCGGGAGCGAAGCAAUUGGAAGUGGUUCCAAGAAAAGCCUCUAAGCUUCAGUCUAACGAUGACCGUACCGCAAACCGACACAGGUGGGCGAGAUGAGUAUUCUAAGGCGCUUGAGAGAACUCGGGAGAAGGAACUCGGCAAAUUGGUACCGUAACUUCGGGAUAAGGUACGCCCUGGUAGCUUGACUGGCCUGCGCCAGAAGGGUGAAGGGGUUGCAAUAAACUGGUGGCUGCGACUGUUUAAUAAAAACACAGCACUCUGCAAACACGAAAGUGGACGUAUAGGGUGUGACGCCUGCCCGGUGCCGGAAGAUUAAAUGAUGGGGUGCAAGCUCUUGAUUGAAGUCCCGGUAAACGGCGGCCGUAACUAUAACGGUCCUAAGGUAGCGAAAUUCCUUGUCGGGUAAGUUCCGACCUGCACGAAUGGCGUAACGAUGGCCACACUGUCUCCUCCCGAGACUCAGCGAAGUUGAAGUGUUUGUGAUGAUGCAAUCUACCCGCGGCUAGACGGAAAGACCCCAUGAACCUUUACUGUAGCUUUGCAUUGGACUUUGAACCGAUCUGUGUAGGAUAGGUGGGAGGCUAUGAAACCGGAAUGCUAGUUUCGGUGGAGCCGUCCUUGAAAUACCACCCUGGUUUGUUUGAGGUUCUAACCUUGGCCCGUGAUCCGGGUCGGGGACAGUGCAUGGUAGGCAGUUUGACUGGGGCGGUCUCCUCCCAAAGCGUAACGGAGGAGUACGAAGGUACGCUAGGUACGGUCGGAAAUCGUGCUGAUAGUGCAAUGGCAUAAGCGUGCUUAACUGCGAGACCGACAAGUCGAGCAGGUGCGAAAGCAGGUCAUAGUGAUCCGGUGGUUCUGUAUGGAAGGGCCAUCGCUCAACGGAUAAAAGGUACUCUGGGGAUAACAGGCUGAUACCGCCCAAGAGUUCAUAUCGACGGCGGUGUUUGGCACCUCGAUGUCGGCUCAUCUCAUCCUGGGGCUGUAGCCGGUCCCAAGGGUAUGGCUGUUCGCCAUUUAAAGAGGUACGUGAGCUGGGUUUAAAACGUCGUGAGACAGUUUGGUCCCUAUCUGCCGUGGGCGUUGGAAGUUUGAAGGGGGCUGCUCCUAGUACGAGAGGACCGGAGUGGACGAACCUCUGGUGUACCGGUUGUGACGCCAGUCGCAUCGCCGGGUAGCUAUGUUCGGAAGAGAUAACCGCUGAAAGCAUCUAAGCGGGAAACUCGCCUUAAGAUGAGACUUCCCCGGGGACUUGAUCCCCUUGAAGGGUCGUUCGAGACCAGGACGUUGAUAGGUCGGGUGUGUAAGCGCAGUAAUGCGUUCAGCUAACCGAUACUAAUUGCCCGUACGGCUUGAUC
RNAcentral lists this ribosomal RNA (2797 nucleotides) under Burkholderia mallei. RNAcentral's name for it is "bacterial LSU rRNA". The stretch from base 1054 to 2797 matches the Rfam family "Bacterial large subunit ribosomal RNA". Lineage: Bacteria; Pseudomonadati; Pseudomonadota; Betaproteobacteria; Burkholderiales; Burkholderiaceae. The record is from RNAcentral.